AUGCUCACUUUAGCAGCACAUAUAUCAAAAUUGGACUGAUAGAGAGAAGAUUAUCAUGACCCCUGUGCAAGGAUGGCACGCAAAUUCGUGACACACUCCAUAUUUUA
Small nuclear RNA from Stegostoma tigrinum, 107 nucleotides. The record is from RefSeq and is a predicted model, not a curated record. NCBI's taxonomy places the organism in Eukaryota, Metazoa, Chordata, Chondrichthyes, Orectolobiformes, Stegostomatidae.